This 207-nucleotide ribosomal RNA is filed under the name uncultured bacterium. RNAcentral describes it as "partial 16S ribosomal RNA". It matches the Rfam family "Bacterial small subunit ribosomal RNA", at positions 568 to 774 of the family's 1533-position model. The record is from RNAcentral.
UGUGUAGGCGGUCCCCUAAGUUUGGUGUGAAAUCUCCCGGCUCAACUGGGAGGGUGCGCCGAAAACUGGGGGGCUAGAGUACUGGAUGGGAGAGUGGAAUUCCUGGUGUAGCGGUGAAAUGCGUAGAUAUCAGGAGGAACACCUGUGGUGUAGACGGCUCUCUGGACAGUAACUGACGCUGAGACACGAAAGCGUGGGUAGCAAACA